Molecule: small RNA, 1259 nt
Filed under: Pan troglodytes (chimpanzee)
Lineage: Eukaryota; Metazoa; Chordata; Mammalia; Primates; Hominidae
Description: processed transcript
Source: RNAcentral
ACUUUAACAGCUCCAAGCCAAACAAGCUUCCGAAUGGCGUGGACUUCUGUGACAUGGUGGGCAACGUGGUCCGGGCUGAGAGAGACUGCCUUAGUGGCAAGCAUUUCUGUUCAGGUAGAGAAUUAGAGAAGUUUCUCUCUUCUCCUUCUCCAAGAGCCAUCUGGCUGGAUAGCUUUUGGUGGAUAUUUCAUGAGAGGUACCAGCCAAACAAGGAGCUCCAGAAUAAUCUGUUUGACCGGAUAGCCCAGCACUAUGCCUUACUUUUGUUUCGUGUACCCAAGUCCCACUAUGAAGAGGCGCUCUUAAAAAGGCUGCCAUCACUUCUGAGCAAAGCCGUGUACACCAGCUUCUGUUGCUGCUUUCCACAGUCCUGGUUCAACACGCACGAAUUCAAGUCUGACAUCUGUAACACAAUGAGCCUGUGGAUUUCAGGCACCUAUCCUAGCCCACAGAGCUAUGACAGCUGGGACUACUCGGAACUAGACCCAGAGCGAUUCCGCAGAGAAGAAUUAAUGUUAUACAGAAGAAGACUGACAAAGGGGAGAGAGUUUUCUUUGUUUGCUGGUAAGAGAGCCUUCUCCCAGAAGCCAGCCCAGAGCAGGAAAUUCUACCACCCUCAGGACUUCAUUGGAAGAAAGCGAAAACCUCAAGGAAGUGGCUAGGUCUGAUAGUUCACAUACCACCCUAACAAAGAGCAAUUAAUUGUGGAGAUGUGACAAGACAAAGGAAAAGAGGUUUGGGCUUCUGGGGAUGGUAAAUUGUGGGAAGUCGUCUAGUGCAAAUUCACCCAGUGAAAAAACCUCUUCAGCCAAGCAGAACUCAGAAAAAAGCUUACGAAUGCAGAAUACUGCAAAAGAGCAUCAUUGUCAGACCCUGGUCUUGAAGAAACCUACACAAGAAGUCAAGAGGAUAUCAGAAGCAAGAGAAUGUGAGAAUAUGUUUCCUAAAAAGUCGUGUGCUGCCUGCAAAAGCCCUGAGCUGACUUCAAACCUCUUCAACAUUUAUGGGAAGAGCCCUCUGAUUGUGUACUUUCUCCAGAAAUAUGCCAGUCUGCAGCAGCACGGCAAGAAUGUGUUGAUAGUCAGAAGGGAAAAGACCACGAGCACCCCUGACUGCACCCCAGCGUAUACUGAUGUCAUCAGCGAGACCCUGUGCAGCAUGAAGAAGCGGAAAGACAACCUCAAUCAGUUGUACCAGCGUCACUGGACUGAAUGGAAUUAUUUUGACAAGCAUCUAAAGGAGCUGCAAGACAACUUCUC